AAUGGGCGAAAGCCUGACCCAGCAACGCCGCGUGAGGGAAGAAGGUUUUCGGAUCGUAAACCUCUGUACUUGGGGACGAAAGAAAUGACGGUACCCAAGGAGGAAGCCCCGGCUAACUACGUGCCAGCAGCCGCGGUAAUACGUAGGGGGCGAGCGUUGUCCGGAAUGAUUGGGCGUAAAGGGCGCGUAGGCGGCCUGUUAAGUCUGGAGUGAAAUUCCUGCUUUCAAGGUAGGAAGUGCUUUGGAAACUGGCGGGCUGGAGUGCAGGAGAGGUUAGCGGAAUCCCCGGUGUAGCGGUGAAAUGCGUAGAGAUCGGGAGGAACACCAGUGGCGAAGGCGGCUAACUGGACUGUAACUGACGCUGAGGCGCGAAAGUGUGGGGAGCAAA
RNAcentral lists this ribosomal RNA (388 nucleotides) under uncultured bacterium. Its description in RNAcentral is "bacterial SSU rRNA". It matches the Rfam family "Bacterial small subunit ribosomal RNA", at positions 370 to 772 of the family's 1533-position model. The record is from RNAcentral.